Molecule: ribosomal RNA, 77 nt
Filed under: Niallia alba
Lineage: Bacteria; Bacillati; Bacillota; Bacilli; Caryophanales; Bacillaceae
Description: partial 23S ribosomal RNA
Rfam family: Bacterial large subunit ribosomal RNA
Source: RNAcentral
AGUUAAGUUAGAAAGGGCGCACGGUGGAUGCCUUGGCACUAGGAGCCGAUGAAGGACGGGAUUAACACCGAUAUGCU